GGGGGAAGGGGUGUGUCACAGCCAACCGCCCUGCUUGAAAUCACCCCGCUUGCACAAAGCGUGAUUUAUGCUCUAGAACGUGAUCCUUUGUGAGGGACAGAGGUGAACAGUUGAUUCUGGGCUUUUCGAUGCCGUCCGUUCCUUUUGUCCCGCGCGGCGCGUCUUCGUGGGGUUUUCGAGGCCUCUCAAAACCUCGCAUGUGUUCACGGUGGGAGGAAUUUUUUUUUUUUCCCCCAUCGCCUGAAACACACAAAUACAUCAUCACGUGACCCAACACUGACAACUGCAGUCUGCCGCAGAGAGGGACAGUGCUAGAAAGGAAUUUCCCCCCCGGGACAGAUCGGAACAGACUCGGUGAACCGACGCUGUCUUCGGGGCUGUGCGGCGAGUCUGCAGCAGCAGCAACUGGUGGAGGCGCUCUGAGUGAGAUCCCAUGACGUUACAUCUUUGAGGCUGGUCCCUGACUGCUACUCUGCCUUCUCUACUGAUGUCGCUGUGACGCUUCACUGGAUAACUGAGUCACACUUGUUUCAGCUUCACCUCGGUUCGUCCUGAGCAUCCACAUCACCGACAUGAUGUUUGUCCGGUCUGGACCGAUUCCCGGACAUUGGUACACUGAUAGCAGGGACUUCAGAGGCCACUAACUAAGCAUCAGGCCCGUACGAGACGCACUAGGCCUUUCCAGUAGGCCCCGUGUCAUGAUUCACACAUCAUUAAACACACAAAACAAAUCUCACACAUUAAACUUGGAUUGUGCAUGUGAGAGACUAAUAAUAUCAGGCCGCCUCGGAAUGAUCAACAAUCGCUUUUUUUGAAGAAUGCCUCCUAAUUUUCUAAACCUGUUCUGCAAGUGUCGUCUAAGCAGAAGCCUUCAAACCACCGGCCACAACGCGGGGAACCGAUUCCACCUCAUGUCAGUUUCUGUCACCAGAUACCCGUCCUUCUGCGAGCAGCGGCGUUUUUUGGGGGACGCGAGCGAUCGCCGGCGGUUUCCGCGCCGAACUGAACAAACGCUUCGGGCCGCUUUUGUUCAGGAGUCGCCGGUGACAUCGGAUCGCACUGCGGAUCAUGUUGUGCGGAGGCUUCUCGUGGCGACGACCAGAGGCGGUGUGCGCUUCUGCGCCGCUGUCGGGGUCUUUUCUCCGGGUUGUGAAAGAGAAACGAAAUCUAAAGACUUCCUGCCGGGAACACAUUGAGGUGUUGGCACGGCAUCAGGAGUCACUACCCAUUGAUUCUGCGUUUCACUAUAGGCCAAGAGAGAGACGCCCGCUAAUGGAUGUCCCACGGAAGGAAAAAGA
Long non-coding RNA from Gasterosteus aculeatus aculeatus (three-spined stickleback), 1298 nucleotides. The record is from Ensembl. NCBI's taxonomy places the organism in Eukaryota, Metazoa, Chordata, Actinopteri, Perciformes, Gasterosteidae.